RNAcentral lists this ribosomal RNA (497 nucleotides) under uncultured bacterium. Its description in RNAcentral is "partial 16S ribosomal RNA". It matches the Rfam family "Bacterial small subunit ribosomal RNA", at positions 28 to 507 of the family's 1533-position model. The record is from RNAcentral.
GACGAACGCUGGCGGCGUGCCUAAUACAUGCAAGUUGAGCGCUGAAGGUUGGUACUUGUACCAACUGGAUGAGCAGCGAACGGGUGAGUAACGCGUGGGGAAUCUGCCUUUGAGCGGGGGACAACAUUUGGAAACGAAUGCUAAUACCGCAUAAAAACUUUAAACACAAGUUUUAAGUUUGAAAGAUGCAAUUGCAUCACUCAAAGAUGAUCCCGCGUUGUAUUAGCUAGUUGGUGAGGUAAAGGCUCACCAAGGCGAUGAUACGUAGCCGACCUGAGAGGGUGAUCGGCCACAGUGGGACUGAGACACGGCCCAAACUCCUACGGGAGGCAGCAGUAGGGAAUCUUCGGCAAUGGACGAAAGUCUGACCGAGCAACGCCGCGUGAGUGAAGAAGGUUUUCGGAUCGUAAAACUCUGUUGGUAGAGAAGAACGUUGGUGAGAGUGGAAAGCUCAUCAAGUGACGGUAACUACCCAGAAAGGGACGGCUAACUACGUG